UACGUAGGGUGCAGGCGUUAAUCGGAAUUACUGGGCGUAAAGCGUGCGCAGGCGGCUCCUUAAGUCAGAUGUGAAAGCCCCGGGCUUAACCUGGGAACUGCGUUUGAAACUGGGGAGCUAGAGUGUAGAAGAGGGGGGUGGAAUUCCAGGUGUAGCAGUGAAAUGCGUAGAGAUCUGGAGGACCACCGAUGGCGAAGGCAGCCCCCUGGGCUAACACUGACGCUCAUGCACGAAAGCGUGGGGAGCAAACAGG
RNAcentral lists this ribosomal RNA (253 nucleotides) under uncultured bacterium. Its description in RNAcentral is "partial 16S ribosomal RNA". It matches the Rfam family "Bacterial small subunit ribosomal RNA", at positions 524 to 776 of the family's 1533-position model. The record is from RNAcentral.